This 474-nucleotide ribosomal RNA is filed under the name uncultured organism. RNAcentral describes it as "partial 16S ribosomal RNA". It matches the Rfam family "Bacterial small subunit ribosomal RNA", at positions 331 to 797 of the family's 1533-position model. The record is from RNAcentral.
GUACACUCCUACGGGAGGCAGCAGUGGGGAAUUUUGGACAAUGGGCGAAAGCCUGAUCCAGCAAUGCCGCGUGAGUGAAGAAGGCCUUCGGGUUGUAAAGCUCUUUUGUCAGGGAAGAAACGGUGAAAGCUAAUAUCUUUUGCUAAUGACGGUACCUGAAGAAUAAGCACCGGCUAACUACGUGCCAGCAGCUGCGGUAAUACGUAGGGUGCAAGCGUUAAUCGGAAUUACUGGGCGUAAAGCGUGCGCAGGCGGUUUUGUAAGUCUGAUGUGAAAUCCCCGGGCUCAACCUGGGAAUUGCAUUGGAGACUGCAAGGCUAGAAUCUGGCAGAGGGGGGUAGAAUUCCACGUGUAGCAGUGAAAUGCGUAGAUAUGUGGAGGAACACCGAUGGCGAAGGCAGCCCCCUGGGUCAAGAUUGACGCUCAUGCACGAAAGCGUGGGGAGCAAACAGGAUUAGAAACCCUGGUAGUCCC